This is a non-coding RNA of Misgurnus anguillicaudatus (oriental weatherfish), 613 nucleotides long. The record is from RefSeq and is a predicted model, not a curated record. Lineage: Eukaryota; Metazoa; Chordata; Actinopteri; Cypriniformes; Cobitidae.
GGUCAAGGCCCCAUUUCAUCAGCACAUAACGGCGAUGAUGAUGAGGAGACCAUCUCUCUGGAUUCCAGAAGGCAUAAGGACCCAGUGUCAUUGGUGGACUGGACUGCACACACAUAAGGAUAAAAGCCCCCUCAGGUGCACAUGAGGCAGAUUUUGUAAGUAUGAAAUCUUUUCACAGCAUUAAUGUUCAGGUGAACAUAACUUUUUGAUCUUUUCCAUUGAACACUGGCAAAAUGACCUGGCUCAGUCCAUGACUCCAGAAUCUUUCGGACCUCUGAAAUCUAUCAGCGCCUAUCACAAGGUGAAUUCUCUGGUGUGUUGCUGGCAGACAGGGGGUAUGGCUGCCAACCUUUUUCCUGACACCUUUCACAGACCCCCAGGAAGCACAGCAGGCCUACAACUAUGCCUAUGCCAGGACCAGGCCCAGAGUUGAAAUGACCUUUGGCCUCCUGAAGGCACACUCUCACUGCUUUCACAAAUUAAGGGUCAGCCCUGUGAGGGCAUAUGACAAUACUGUAGCUUGUGCUGUCCUCCACAAUGUGGCCUGCCUGAGGAAGGAGAGGGCAUUUGUCCUGCAUUUAUUUCAGUGUGCAGACAUGCAGGGUGUGUUAUA